UGGGGAAUCUUGCACAAUGGGGGCAACCCUGAUGCAGCGACGCCGCGUGAGCGAUGAAGCCCUUCGGGGCGUAAAGCUCUUUCGACCGGAACGAUAAUGACGGUACCGGGAGAAGAAGCCACGGCUAACUACGUGCCAGCAGCCGCGGUAAUACGUAGGUGGCAAGCGUUGUCCGGAUUUACUGGGCGUAAAGGAUGCGUAGGCGGAUACUUAAGUCAGAUGUGAAAAUCCCGGGCUUAACUUGGGAACUGCAUUUGAAACUGGGUAUCUAGAGUGCGGGAGAGGAAAGUGGAAUUCCUAGUGUAGCGGUGAAAUGCGUAGAGAUUAGGAAGAACACCAGUGGCGAAGGCGACUUUCUGGACCGUAACUGACGCUGAGGCAUGAAAGCGUGGGGAGCAAACA
RNAcentral lists this ribosomal RNA (402 nucleotides) under uncultured bacterium. RNAcentral's name for it is "bacterial SSU rRNA". It matches the Rfam family "Bacterial small subunit ribosomal RNA", at positions 355 to 774 of the family's 1533-position model. The record is from RNAcentral.